RNAcentral lists this ribosomal RNA (261 nucleotides) under uncultured bacterium. RNAcentral's name for it is "partial small subunit ribosomal RNA". It matches the Rfam family "Bacterial small subunit ribosomal RNA", at positions 26 to 285 of the family's 1533-position model. The record is from RNAcentral.
AGAUUGAACGCUGGCGGCAUGCCUUACACAUGCAAGUCGAACGGCAGCACGGGAGCAAUCCUGGUGGCGAGUGGCGAACGGGUGAGUAACACGUGGGCAAUCUGCCCUGCAUUCUGGGACAAGCCUUGGAAACGAGGUCUAAUACCGGAUACGACGCAUCUCCGCAUGGAGUGUGCGUGGAAAGCUCCGGCGAUGCAGGAUGAGCCCGCGGCCUAUCAGCUUGUUGGUGGGGUAAUGGCCUACCGAAGGCGACGACGGGUA